UGCACUCAUCACUGUAAGUCGCUUUGGAAAAAAGCAUCUGCUAAAUGGCAUAUA
Non-coding RNA from Salmo salar (Atlantic salmon), 54 nucleotides. Lineage: Eukaryota; Metazoa; Chordata; Actinopteri; Salmoniformes; Salmonidae. The record is from Rfam.